UACGGAGGGUGCAAACGUUGCUCGGAAUCACUGGGCGUAAAGCGCACGUAGGCGGCCGUGUAAGUUGGGUGUGAAAGCCCUGGGCUCAACCCAGGAAGUGCAUCCAAAACUGCAUGGCUUGAGUACCGGAGGGGCUCAGAGAAUUCCCGGUGUAGAGGUGAAAUUCGUAGAUAUCGGGAGGAAUACCAGUGGCGAAGGCGCUGGGCUGGACGGUUACUGACGCUGAGGUGCGAAAGCGUGGGGAGCAAACAGG
This 253-nucleotide ribosomal RNA is filed under the name uncultured bacterium. RNAcentral describes it as "partial 16S ribosomal RNA". It matches the Rfam family "Bacterial small subunit ribosomal RNA", at positions 524 to 776 of the family's 1533-position model. The record is from RNAcentral.